CUCAGGAUGAACGCUAGCGGCAGGCCUAAUACAUGCAAGUCGACGGUAACAGGUGUAGCGAUACAUGCUGACGAGUGGCGCACGGGUGCGUAACACGUAUGCAACUUUCCUUCAACUGGUGAAUACGCCCCUACGAAAGAGGGAUUAAUACACCAUAAUAUAAUGAGAUGGCAUCAUCUUAUUAUUAAACCCCGGUGGUUGAAGAUGGGCAUGCGCAACAUUAGCUAGUUGGUGAGGUAAUGGCUCACCAAGGCUACGAUGUUAGGGUUCUAAGAGGAUUAACCCCCACACCGGUACUGAGACACGGACCAGACUCCUACGGGAGGCAGCAGUAAGGAAUAUUGGACAAUGGUGGCAACACUGAUCCAGCCAUGCCGCGUGCAGGAUGAAGGCCCUAUGGGUUGUAAACUGCUUUUAUACGGGAAAAAACCUCUCUACGUGUAGAGAGCUGAUGGUACCGUAAGAAUAAGGAUCGGCUAACUCCGUG
RNAcentral lists this ribosomal RNA (487 nucleotides) under uncultured bacterium. Its description in RNAcentral is "bacterial SSU rRNA". It matches the Rfam family "Bacterial small subunit ribosomal RNA", at positions 23 to 507 of the family's 1533-position model. The record is from RNAcentral.